RNAcentral lists this transfer RNA (75 nucleotides) under Cordylochernes scorpioides. Its description in RNAcentral is "tRNA-Glu". The record is from RNAcentral. Lineage: Eukaryota; Metazoa; Arthropoda; Arachnida; Pseudoscorpiones; Chernetidae.
UGUCCAAUGCGGGAAUCGAACCCGGGUCCUAGUGGUCGAAAACCAAACGGUUUAACCGGCCUUCCACUGACCCCC